This is a long non-coding RNA of Aethalodelphis obliquidens (Pacific white-sided dolphin), 7408 nucleotides long. RefSeq lists it as uncharacterized. The record is from RefSeq and is a predicted model, not a curated record. The transcript is spliced from 3 exons. Lineage: Eukaryota; Metazoa; Chordata; Mammalia; Artiodactyla; Delphinidae.
GCCAUGUUUAGGAGCCAUUUGAUUUUUACAACCCUACAGGAUGGGUGUUGCUGUUUCUAUUUUAAGUAUGAGGAAUCUUAGCCCAUUAAAGGGUCAACUUAGUGAACCACUGUGACUGCCUUGUUCACCACUAUGACCUUGGCACGUGGCACGCAAUAGAUGCUCUAAAGAGAGUGUCUGGAGAGAUGAAUGAUGCUCAGGGAUCCAGAAAAAAUUGCUCAAGUUUGCCCUACCUGUGGCAGAACCAGGAUUUGAACUCAGCCAAACUGUUGCCACGUUGGGAUGCUUUAGGCUCUACCAUACUGGGAAUUUUUAAAUCUGUAGAGUCAUAUCGAUAGCUCAUGGGGUAUUUAUUGUUUCAGAAUUAAUCUUACAUGUUAAAUGAAAUAUUUUGAAAAUAAAUAGAUCAAUUAUGCCCUAAUUAAAAAUGGAAAUGGACUAGAGUUUAUUAAAAGAUGAUGGGAACCCUAAUAAGGUGGUAGAGUCAGUCCCAACCCAUGAGAGUGCAUGGGGUUCCCUAGAGAAUUGUGGGGAUGGGGGAAGCUUAUCUGUGCACCAACAGGGCUCAGGUGUGAAGGAAUAACAGGCUUUUGGGAAAGAGUUUGGAAGAGUUAAGGGAGGGUGGCCAAUGACAGAUUAGAGAAGACGACAUUGGAAACCAAACAAUAAAGCCACAGGGCAAUUUAGAAACAUAUUUAGAAAUCUUAAUAAAUAAUAACUUUCUGUGUGAUUCUGAACCAUUGGUAUAAAAGAGGACUAGUUUUCAUGAUGUUAGCUGUUUGGGGGAAAUUUAAGCAUUCAAAAUCUUGCAUGAAAUCAGAAAUCAUUUCUGCAUUCUGUGGGUGAGUGGAUCAUGAGAUAUAAAGAGUGCUUGAAAGUUCAGUGGAAAAGACCAGGAGGCCUGCCACUGACAGGGAAAGACUUCACAGAACAGAAUAGAGCACAAUAUCCACUUAAAAUUGCCCUAUCAGAAAUUGUUUGAAAAUGGUAAUUAAAAAUAUUUUUUUGGCAUUGAAAAAUUGAAUUUAAAUUAAUCAAUACUAAAGAAGGCAGAAACCAAGAAUUCCAUAAGAGCGCAUACACAAAAAAUGGUUCUAUUGGAAAUCAAUCUAGCUGUAACGUAUACAUUGAGACAGCACCUUGUUUUGCUUUAACAGAAAGUUUCAAAAGGGAAAAAGAUCGUUUGUAAGAACCUGUGCAGUAGCUUGACAGUCCAAGUUGGACUUCAGGCCUCUGCCACGAAAAAAACAUUUUUCUCUUUUUCCUUCCCCUAAAUUACUGCUCGUUCAUGUUUUCUUUUGAAAAUGAACAUUGAUUCAAUUUAUUUUACUUGCCCUGAGCCUACCAGCUUUCUAUACACAAACCACAGGGGUCCCAGAUCACGGAAAAUGGGCAAAGCGAUAGAAGCUUUGCCCUUUACCUAGAAGCAUAUAUACCAGUGAUAAAAACACAUCAGUUCUGUGAUAUAAUGCUUUCAGUAAACUGGAUCUGUUUCAAUAUUUUUCUCCUCAUUUUUUUUUUUCUGAGCUUUGCUGGAUUAGAAAGAUUUUCCAACAUUAACAUUUAGUUGUUAAUUUUUCUCUGUAAUUUUCUCCCUCCUGUUCAUUCCAUGGUAUUGAAUGGUGGGCGUGCAAUAAAUGGUGUUGGAUGAAUGAAUGGGUGUCAGACACUGUGCAGAGACCAAGAGGAGCCAUGAUUCUGACCUUGCUCUUAAGAAGUUUACAGCCAAAUGGGAGAAACACCUAUAAACAACAGUUGUAAAUUAAGUCCAUGGGAUAAUGGAGGGACACACAGUAUUGACCACUCACAGCAAUGAGCAGCUAUCAUCCUUGGGGAACCAGGAGUAGUCUAAUUCUCAAGCAUAUACAGAAGGAUGACUUACAAAAGACCCUCCAGCUUCAAGAGACCACAUUCACAAAAAGCAACUCAAAUCGGACCGUGAAUUUUCAAGAAACCAUGGGACUAUGCUGUGCUCCAAGAAUAAAAUGGGCAAACAGGACCUGAAUAUGACUAGUGUCUGUUUUGGGACAAAAGAGAAAACAGAGCACGAAAAGGGUCUAUCUCAAAAAAAAAAACAAAAAAAAAACCCUAAGUCAACUUCUUUUUUUUUUUUCAUCAAUUCUCUAAAUACUCUGCUGGGAAAAGGAGAUGGGAGUUCUUGGCUCAGAGUUACUGAAGCUUGUUAUAUAUGACCCCAGUGACCCUUGAAGUUUGCAUCUGUCACAACAGAACACGCGGCUUCUUAACACACUGCCUUUGUCUGCAAGACUCAUGCAGGGCUGUGGAGUGAGACACCCGAAUAAGCCCAUCUGGCGCCAUAGCUACCAGCCUCCCUCAGUCUGAGCUUCCUUCUGUGGACAGAGACCCAGACUUGCAAAUCUGCAGCCAGAAGCCUCCUUUCUGCCAUUUCUUGUCUUCCGACUUUCUGCCCCUUCCUUCCUCACAUGAUGGAAACUCAUCAAUGGGUGCUAGAAGUGACCCUGCAAAUAAAGCAAAUUGUUCCCUUGGGUCUCAGAAAGAAGGCUGAAGGGAAAGAGUUUCAGAAUAGCUUACUAGCUCUAAAAGCACUAGCAGUUAAACUGCUAGUUCUUGUUGGCACUAUUCUUCUCAUUCCAAAAGCCCACUGAAUACCAAAACGUUAACAGUUGGAGUCAAGACCUCCUCCCCGACCCUCAUCCAAUUACUUUGAGUUUUACAAAUAAGCUAAGUGUGGCAGCUCUGGCAGUGACUGCAUCAGGUUCUGCGCAACUUUCCUGAGAAGCAGUUUGCUGCCUCCAGCCCUACCUAGAUCACGAGAGCUCAGCAGAACUGUACAAGAUCCCUCUUAUGUGGCACCUCCCUUGGACCACAAAUGCUAUUACCCAGGCACUGUUUACUGCCAAGUUUGCAUCUCCUUUACUUGGCCAAACCUUUUGUUGACAUCCUUUGUCUGCUGUCUUCUCCAUUCUCCUAAGUUUAUACCUUUUAAUUCCUUUAUUGUGAUUUAUGUGGCAUUUCAGUGGUAGUGGAGAUAAACAUGUGUUCAACCAACCAUGCUUACUGGAAGUCUUGUGUGUAUAAGGGAUGCGGGAAGGGUCAGAAACCCUUAAGCUGCAUUUAAACUCUAGGUGAAUGUGACAGCCAGUAAAAAUUGACUGUCUAGAACAAGGCUUGAUAAACUACAGCUGUUGGUCAAGUCUGACUCACUGCUUGUAUAAAUAAAGUUUUAUUGGAACUCAGUCAUGCCCCUCCAUGUAUAUAUUACCUAUGGAUGCUUUUACACCACAGUGACAGAGUUGAGUAGUUGCAGCAGAGACCUCAUCGACUGCCUCCGUCCAAAAAUAUUUACUACCUGGCCUUUUAUAGAAAGUUUGCCAACCUCCAGUCUAGAAUGAAGCUGGUAACAAUGAUUAAUAUUGCUAGGCUUGAUGUAAAUAUUUUUCUAUGUUUCAAACUUGUUUGAAGAAUGUUAACGUUUUUUAAAUUAUUACAUUUAAUCUUAGCCUCAAAGGGAAUGCCGCAGCCAGGAAAGAAAUAUAUUUUACUAAGGUAUGGCAAAAAAAUAUCCUUUUAAAAAAAGGUACUGAUCUAAAUUCAAUAUCUUGUAUCCGAUAUAGCUGUGAGAUAAAUGUUAUUCAUAGAGGGAAAUCUGACAAUUCUUCACAUACUAAAUUCACGUUGGUUGACUAGCAGGUCUGUUGUUCCCGGUGCUUCAACAAAAAUAUUCCAUUUAGAAGAUUAUCCUGCUUAAAUUUUGUAGCAAAAGGUAGUUAUAAGUACACAUUGCUGGCUUAAAUUGUUAAAUUGUACUUUUAAAUUAGUCCACAAUUUUCAAACCCAAAUGUUCACUGUCUGAUUAAAAAGCGAAUCAUCUUUGAAAAAUAGCCCUUACCGAAAAGGUCAAAAUAUUUUCCAAUAUAGUCCUGGAAAGAAAUACAUAAAAUUUCUAACAGUGGUAAAAUGAUAAGAUUAAGGAUGAUUUUCUUUACUCCUUUCUCUAUUUUGCAAAUUUUUACAGUGAACAUUAUGCUUUUAUAACUGUAAAAAAAAUUAACUUCUCUAGGAAUUUUUUCCACUAGGAAAUGGAUUAGAAUUGAGUUGUGCUAUUGGUUGAUAAAUUCAAUUAAUCUACCAGCUGUCACACAAUUAUCACAGUGGGCUAGCCUUCUGAAGGAUAAGUGAUGAGUUAAGUUUGUUUUAUACAUAAAAUAAUUUCAGGCAAUCAUAGUCUCAGAGGUACAAAAUACUCAGAAACUAAGAAUUGUGUCUGAAAAACAUCCAUUGGAUAUAAAUAAAUAGGCAGCUUUUUCCAGCUCACAUGUCUCAUUUUUAGUUUGAAGAAUAAGAUCAUUUUCCCUGCAGGUGACACCGGCUGUGGAACUGUUCUGGGGAGAAGUCUUCACCUUGUCCACUGCUCAGCCCAUGCCUUUCCUAUAUACGGGCGGUGGGGCACUGUGGGGAGUUACACUGCGCCCUCACCCACCUCACCCCUUUUCUCCUACAGAUGAAAAUCCACAUGUAAUUAAUGUCCAUGAUAGCUGGAGCCUGCAACAUGAAUACUGAUUGAAUUCGAGUUAAAAAUACUAAAAGCUUUUAGGAGUAAUGCUUUUUAGAUGCAUAUCUCACUUAAUUCUCAAAUAUGCAAUGAAUUGGCCAUUAUUGUGGAAGAGAGACUCCUGGCCCCAACUCUGGCUGCCUGAGCCCAUGCUUCUAACAGCUCUACCCCACAGCCUCACUCCUGCCCUUUCCCCUCUAACUGUAUGAGUAACUAUAAAGAAGCUCAUUUAUCUGCAUAGAACUAACAAUGAUCAGUUUUCACUAAUUCAGUACUUUCUUCAAUCUAUCAAAUGUUUUGAAAAAUACCAUGUACAUAUUGCCAGCAAAUGAUUAACCAUUUUGCCUCUUUUUUAAUGCUGAGUUUGAGAUCUAAUUUCUUUAUUUGUGGCAGUCUCUGUGGGUUUUCAACCUCUUAUGUUGCAUAACAACACAAUAAACUUUUCCUAAUGAAAUAUCGGCUAUCAACCUAACCGUAAGCGAAAAGUCACAUGCACUGUGAAAGCCCACUUGGCGAAAAGAGAUUCAGUUGCACAUUAGUCGUACACACGGCAUCUACUAGGUCAGGUUCUGGGCGGGCCUGCUCCUGCUCUUCAUUUGUUGGUUCAUUUGUCUGUUCAUUCAUUCAUUCAGCCAUGUGUGUUGAGCACCUGCUUUGUGCCUGGCACUGUGCUGGGCACUGAGGUAGAGAGGGUCCAGAGCCUGCUGGGCUGUAACAAGAUAUAGACUCAGACCCCUGUGCUGCCUGCUUCUCGUCUCAGUUGCUGGGGCUGGAGUGAUGCCCCACUCCAGCUCCGUUUCUGGGACUCCAAACCCUGACACCCUCUCACAAGGUGUGUGAGAGUGGGGGAUGUUAGAUAAUGGUUAUUGAAACCAGUGCCCUAAAAGCCAAGGUAUUGGAAACCUAAAAAAAGACACCCUGAGUCCUACUCUAGGGCCCAAGGAAUCUCUUCAGGCUCCAAGUGGUACUGCUGUCCCACCCUGGACCUGGUCAAGGCCCCCAUGGGCUGAGAAGACCAUAGCUGGUGACCCAGGCUUCUGUUUACCCAGCUGGGAACUUCAUGCAAGGGUAGAGAAAGGCUCCAGGAAUCCCCUUUUCAGGGCACAAAGAAGCAUUUUUGGAAGGUCAUUCAUCUGAUGAAGGCAGUGAUCUGUGACUUGAGAAGGCCUAAGCUGGCUGCAAGGACUGACUCCAGCUGGACACAUUGCUGCAAUGGAUUUCUUUCCCUGGUCAGCUGCCCACCAAAGAUGUCAACCUUGCCGGUCCUCCCGGGCUGGUGCUGUGAAGCACUGGGCCCUGCACGGGGUGGGCAGGUGUAAAGGCAGCUGAGGGCUCCGCUUGCUCUUUGGAUACUGAGGACAUUCACUGGGGACAGCCCACUGCCACACCACCCUUUAAGUUCUUGUCUCUCCAGACACUCAUCUGUCUGGACAAUGUCAGCCCCUUCUGUGUGGGGGAAAGGGACAAAGAGUGAGAACACAAAUAAAUGAUUUGCUAAGAGAAAUUAUUUGAGGCUCCCCCCAAGAAGGUGGUGAUGGUGGUAUAGGCUUUGGAUUGGAAAAAAGAAGGGGAAUUCUUCUCAGACACUUUAACUGAUUUAUUGUACCUAAUCAUCAAUUUAUCACAGGGGUGGUUCCAAGCCCACCUUGAGUAGAAUGACCAGUCCCUAUCUCCCUGUACAAACCUUGCCCACAACCAGCUGAUUCUAUGAUUCCAUGUCAUCAUGUUUUUUUUUUGUUUAUGUUUUUUGUUUUUUUUUUUAAACGGUAACUGAGAUGGAAGAAAAAGAGUGUGACCAAAACCAGAAAAAGAUCUUUGUCUUCAAAAGUCAACAGGGUCAACAUUUCAGCAAUCAGGGUAGAUUUCUUAACUAUCAGCAAAAGUCAUUUCUUGAUGAGAUUUUUAUUAUCAGUAAAAUACUUCAUAUGGAUCAGAAGAGUUUACCAAACCAUAUCUUGAUGGAUUAAGUGAAAAUGAAUUUGAAACACAUGGAUUACAUUUCCUUAAAAUGUGCAUGAGUUUGAAAGUUAACAAUAACAAUGCUUGACUAAAAAGCAUUUGGGAAUUUCUUAAGCCCCAAGAGUUUGAAAAACCAGUUUCUCAGUUGGACUUAAAUAGGUACCCUUACCCAUUAAGGCACUAUAAUUUACAUUAAAGGUAUUCACAGGUAACACUUUAACAAACCAAGGAUGGCAAUAUGCUAUCAGUUUAUUCUUUGCUUCGGAAAUUGCUUCAUGUUUUAGUGCUUUAAAUUCUCAAGUAAACACUUACAUUUAUAUACAUACUAAAUUACUUUAAGAAGACAGAAUAAUUCUUCUUGCUGUCAUACAUAAAUUAAAAAUCCACAAUAAUCCAGGGAAUGCAAAGUUAACCAUGACAAAAUUUCUGGAAGCGUUAACAAACACCUUAAGUGUUCAAUGUACAUUUGACAUUGGAAUUAUGGAGAGGUCGUACAAUAUCAAUGUUGUAAGAAUAUAAAGGAUGCCUAUGCUUGUCUUGAUUCUUUUACUAUAGAUUCCAUUAUUUUUAAGAGUGCAAAGGCUUUGUUAAAAAAACAAUCAAUCAAACAAACAUAAACCCCCAGGGUAUAAUUGUAUUUAUGAAGUGGUGUUACUGUAAAAUAAAAAUUCAGUAGAAAGACAUGAUAGGGGAUACAGGAGUAGUCUCAACUGUCUACUUUACUGGAAAAGAUAGCUUUAUUCAAAUAUUUUCAAGGUUCUUUUUAGAAAAGCUUAGAAAAAAUGAUAUAGAUUUAGUAGAGAAAUGAUGGUCCAAAGUACAAUGACAUCAGUUCCAAUUAAAAGGAAUGAAGGGACUUCCCUGGUGGCGCAGUGGUUAAGAAUCCACCUGCCAAUGCAGGGUACAGGGGUUCAA